RNAcentral lists this ribosomal RNA (460 nucleotides) under uncultured bacterium. RNAcentral describes it as "partial 16S ribosomal RNA". It matches the Rfam family "Bacterial small subunit ribosomal RNA", at positions 338 to 795 of the family's 1533-position model. The record is from RNAcentral.
CCUACGGGAGGCAGCAGUGAGGAAUAUUGGUCAAUGGCCGGAAGGCUGAACCAGCCAUGCCGCGUGAAGGUCAGUGCCCUAUGGGCGUUAAACUUCUUUUGUGCGGGAGCAAUAAUGGUCACGUGUGGCCAGACGAGAGUACCGUACGAAUAAGCAUCGGCUAACUCCGUGUACGCAGCCGCGGUAAUACGGGGGAUGCAAGCGUUAUCCGGAUUUAUUGGGGGUAAAGGGUGAAUAGGCUGGGAGGUAAGUCAGCGGUGAAAUGCCCCCGCGCAACGGGGUGAAGUGCCAUUGAUACUGGCUUGCUGGAGUGCGGAUGCCGUGAGAGGAAUGUGUGGUGUAGCGGUGAAAUGCAUAGAUAUCACACAGAACACCGAUUGCGAAGGCAUCUCACGAAUCCGCGAUUGACGCUGAUGCACGAAAGCGUGGGUAUCAAACAGGAGUAGAUACCCCAGUAGUC